ACUUCGCAGUGGUUCGCACUCGGCUACUGUUAUUUCCGCGACUUAUAACCGUAUGAUAAAGUUACACUUGUUCACACAGAAAAUUGCACCCCAACAAAACUGUCGUUGGUACCCGAACUACAUUUCAGUCACUCAGUAAAGCGAUAAUUCAAAAUAUCAUUGUCUACAGAUCUGGAGAAAUUGCCAAUGCGUCUUUAGACUGUCUUUGUCAGACGAGAGAUACCCCGAUUCCUCGAGUAAUCCAUGGCUUCUUUGUAGACAUUGCUCUAACCUUGGUAAGUUUUGGGGGAAAGCAGUGUUCAAAUAAGGUAAAUGUCUGCAGUUGUGGCAUGUGUUGUAAUCUCCACACCACAGUAACACAAUAUGCUGUUAGAGAAACCAAAACAAAAUGGCUCAGACUAUUGAUGAAGUGGGGUAACAUGUGGUACUCUUUUCCCCAAAUUUGGAGGGAGCACAAUGCUGCUGCAACAAUCCAUGCUGAGGUUGGAAGUGCACAGCAACAAUGCACCAUCGUAUGACACUGAGGUUAGAUGACACACACACUUCCACUGUGGUAAAACAAGUGUGAGUGACAAAGAAGAAAGCGCCAGACCAUGUCUCUGUGAAGAAACAGGAAUUGCAGAAUUGGAGGUUCUGCAGCUUGAAGACUGGCAUAUCACAAUUGAGGCAAUAGUGGAAAAAGUGGAAAAUGAGUUUUCAACAUCUAGCUUGAAUUUUUAAUAUAGCAGAGGUCACCGACUACUGGGUUUCGCUACUACUAGCACUGAUUCAAAAAGCUACGUAACUGAGGCAGUAGCAGAAAUGUUGCACAUGUGUCAGGUCAAUCUAGAGGAGGUCUUCAGCCAGUGAUUCACAUUAAAUGAGUGCUGGGAAUAUCACUGUCACCCCAAGACAAAGGAGGAAAGCAAGCAGCGGAAAUGCAUGGAUUGACCAUUGUCGAAGAAGGUGACUGUACAUCAGAUCCUGAGCUUUCUGGGGUGGCAGCUCAUGUUGUUAGGUCACUUGGUAUCUUCUGCCAGCAGAUGUCACAUUCAGCGAAUCAUUCUCAGCACCUCAGGCCUCGGUCACGCAAUCACAAGUGCUCUCAAAGCCACGAGAAGAGAAAUUGUUCUUUGCAUGUUUUGUGUUAAAAGAAUUAAAUUUUUAUUUCUCUGUUGAUGUGAAUGACUGUAAGCAGUUCAAGUGUUCAGCGUGUGGGAAGCAGUAAAAAUUUAACAAACAUCUGAGCAAGCAUGCAUCAAAGGUUCAUCCUGAGAAAUUGAGUAUAAUUCCAGCUUUUCAAAAAAGUCAGAAGUCUUAUAUUUAUCAAUAUAAUGCCUGUCAUAAAAAGUUCAAUUAUGAAUUUAACUUCAAGGAUCAUCAGUGUGAUUAUCAUGGUGGGACCUCAAGCAACAGAAUGUGGGGGUAAGACAAAGUGGUGUGAUUGUAAUUUUGAGACAUCAUGAGGAAUUUGUUAUGUAAAACAUUGUAGACAAUGCAUGAUGUCCAGAUUAGUAUAGAAAAUUUGUAGUUGUGAUCAUUUUCUGAUUUAUAACAGUGGGAAGAAGGUACUGAGAAGACAAGAAAGACAGUUUUGUUAAAAACUGUGGCUCUAAAGUUGUUGCUAAUGGUUGUGUGAGACAUUAUUAUAUUUGCCAUUGCUCAGAUCAACAUAUUUCACUAAGUAAGGGUGCCAAAUACGUGAAAAAUAAUGGAGUGUUCCUAGCACAGAUUAAAGUUACCCAGAUCACAGGUGGCCCGUGCCAGGUAACAUUUGUUUCAACACACGGUGCACACAACAAUGACUUAUGUCACAUUGAUGUAAGUUAAAGAGUAAGUAGUAGCAGACAUACCCAACAAAAUCCCUUUCCUGGCUGUAGUUGAGAAAAUCAGAGAUUCAGUCUGUUUUGAACAGGAAAGAAUUCAUCUCCUAAUGAUGCAAGAUCUUGCAAACAUUUUGCAAACAAUUUGUGCUGAUGAGGAAGACUGCAGAACAAUGCAAUUAGUGAGAGACUGAUGUGCAAGAACUGAUCUCAGGUGAGAAUCAUUGUUUGCUAUUUUAUAAGCCCAAGGAGUAGUUACCAGAACUCAUUUAAGCCUGCAAAGCACUGGUUUUGUGUUGAUCGUAAUGAAUAAGGCCCAAGAUGAACUUUCGAAGAAAUAUGAACACGCUGCGUUUGUGUGUCUGCAACAUGUGAGCUAAAUAGCUACCAUUUUGAAUUAGCAACAUUAUUAGUGCUAGAAGAUAUGAAAGAGGUUUUCCCUUGUGCCUUCCUUGUAUCGAACUGGACCAAUACCCUAGUGAUGUCCAUAUUUCUUGAGUUUAUAAGAUCGGAGGUCGGUAAAAUUUCAUCAGAGGUGUUCAUGUGUGGCUUGGCUGUUUCUUUCUGUAAUACAUGGAAUGCAAUAAUGGGCCCACCUGCGAUAAAACUAUUUUGCACUUGGCAUAUUUACCAAUUGUGGAGAAGAAAUAUCAGUUGAAAAAUUAAGGGCCUAGAGAAAAAAGCCUAAGCUUAUGAACUAUUACAGCUUUAUUGAAGUAGGGGGAUGUGGCUGCAUUUAAAAUGAUGUUAUUAGCUGUCUUUCAGAGAUAUCCAGAACAUUGCAGUUUAGUUAUUACUUGCAGGAUAACUACCUGCAUAAUGCACAGUGCAAGCCCUAGUGCCACAGAUUAAAUGGUGACAUAACACAUAUAUGUAUAUAGAACAAAUGCACCACCCAAUUAAAUAUAUUUAUUUAAAAAGUGUGAAUGCCUAGACAAAUCACUGUUUGCUAUGGUGUCAUUUGCCAAGAAAAAACUAUUUGACAGACUUAUUGUCCCCACAAAAAGGAAAUCUCACCCACAAACUGCAAGACGUGCACUACAGGCACAGUUUAACUGAAAUGUUAAGCGAACACUAAUUAUCAUGGUGGAUUGGAAAUACCAUGUACUCUUCAAAUGUGUGCAGAAAUAUAUUGUAUCAGGGAUACUUAGGUGAUGUGUAACUGUAAAUCGAAGUGUGGAAAGUUCAGCAUGUCCAUACAAAAGUAUUGUUGCUCAUAUGUUGGCUUGAGCAUUAAGUAGCAGUUGUGUUUGUCAGAAGAUUAUAGGCUUGCAGCUGCCUGCAGGUAGUUGUAAUGAUGAUAAACUAUUGAUUUCAAGUGGGGAUCCAUGUGAUGUAAAUGAAAUUUGAAUACGUUUUUUGAAACCUGUCUUGAUCGGAUAGUCUGACAGCCCACACACAAUAGAAAUAACAUAGACCUUGUAGCUACAAACAGGCCAGAUAUUAUCAAACAAAUUGGUAUAGAGGCGGGGAUUAACAGUCAUAAUAUCGUUGCAGCAUUUACAGUUAUGAAAGUUAAUAAAUUAGUCAAGAGGGGGAGGAGAGUGUUUCUGCUGGAAAGAGCAGAUAAGUAGUUGGUUGUUAGCGUCUCACUUAGCGAAUUGAUAUCACUUAGUUCCAGUAAAAUGGAUGUAAAGGAAUUAUGGGCAGAUUUUGAAGAGAUAGUAAAUUGUGGUCUGGAGAACUAUGUUCCUAGCAAAUGGAUUAAGGAAACAAUGAAAUUCAGAAAAUGCUGAGGAAGUAAAGAUCUUGGUCCAAAAGAGAAUGCACAAAUGACGAGAGGCAAAGGUUAGUAGAGAUUUGUGCGUCUGUGGAAAAUACCUAUGUGCGAAGCACACUACUACUACUACUGUCAUAGCAAAAGAUCUGAUCUAGAACCCAAGAAAAUUCUUGUCCUAUUUAAAAUUGUUAAGAGGGUCUAAGGCUUCCACCCAGUCACUAGACCAGUCUGAAGUGGCACUUGAAGAUAGGAAAAUGAAAGCCAAAGUUCUAAAUUUCGCAUUUAAGAAAUUGGACGCGCAGGAGGCUCAUAUAAACAUACUGUCGGUUGACCUGCAAACAGAUGCCUGUAUGGACAAAAUAGUAAUAAGCAUCCCUGGCAUAGAGAAAUAACUGAAAGAGCUGAAAAUGAAAAAGUUGCCAGCCUGGAUCGAAUCCCAAUUCAGUUGUACAGAGAGUACCUUACAGCAUUGGCUCCUUACUUAUCAUGCAUUUAUUGCAAAUAUCUCACCCAACGGAAAGUCCCAAGCAACUGGAAGAAAGCACAGAUGACUCCAGUAUAUAAGAAGUGUAAAAGGGCAGUCCCAUAAA
This is a long non-coding RNA of Schistocerca nitens (vagrant locust), 4112 nucleotides long. RefSeq lists it as uncharacterized. NCBI's taxonomy places the organism in Eukaryota, Metazoa, Arthropoda, Insecta, Orthoptera, Acrididae. The transcript has 4 exons. The record is from RefSeq and is a predicted model, not a curated record.